GACGAACGCUGGCGGCGUGCUUAACACAUGCAAGUCGAACGGAAAGGCCCUGCUUUUGUGGGGUGCUCGAGUGGCGAACGGGUGAGUAACACGUGAGUAACCUGCCCUUGACUUUGGGAUAACUUCAGGAAACUGCGGCUAAUACCGGAUAGGAGCUCCUGCUGCAUGUUGUGGGUUGGAAAGUUUCGGCGGUUGUGGAUGUACUCGCGGCUUAUCCGCUUGUUGGUGGGGUAGUGGCUUACCAAGGCUUUGACGGGUAGCCGGCCUGAGAGGGUUGCCGGCGACAAUGGGACUGAGAGACGGCCCAGAAGCCUACGGGAGGCAACAGUGGAGAGUAUUGCAGAGUGGGCGGAAGCCUGAGGCAGAAACGCCGGGUGCGGGAUGACGGCCUUCGGGUUGUAAACCGCUUUCGCCUGUGACGAAGAGGGAGUGACGGUAAUGGGUAAAGAAGCAACGGCUAACUACGUG
Molecule: ribosomal RNA, 468 nt
Filed under: uncultured bacterium
Lineage: Bacteria
Description: partial 16S ribosomal RNA
Rfam family: Bacterial small subunit ribosomal RNA
Source: RNAcentral